Molecule: ribosomal RNA, 261 nt
Filed under: uncultured Bolidomonas
Lineage: Eukaryota; Bolidophyceae
Description: partial Bacterial small subunit ribosomal RNA
Rfam family: Bacterial small subunit ribosomal RNA
Source: RNAcentral
GGCAGGCCUAACACAUGCAAGUCGAGCGCACCUUCGGGUGAGCGGCGGACGGGUUAGUAACGCGUGGGAACGUACCCUUUUCUACGGAAUAGCCUUUGGAAACGAAGAGUAAUACCGUAUACGCCCUUUGGGGGAAAGAUUUAUCGGAGAAGGAUCGGCCCGCGUUAGAUUAGAUAGUUGGUGGGGUAACGGCCUACCAAGUCUACGAUCUAUAGCUGGUUUUAGAGGAUGAUCAGCAACACUGGGACUGAGACACGGCCC